GAUGAACGCUGGCGGCGUGCCUAAUACAUGCAAGUCGAGCGAAUGGAUUAAGAGCUUGCUCUUAUGGAGUUAGCGGCGGACGGGUGAGUAACACGUGGGUAACCUGCCCAUAAGACUGGGAUAACUCCGGGAAACCGGGGCUAAUACCGGAUAACAUUUUGAACCGCAUGGUUCGAAAUUGAAAGGCGGCUUCGGCUGUCACUUAUGGAUGGACCCGCGUCGCAUUAGCUAGUUGGUGAGGUAACGGCUCACCAAGGCAACGAUGCGUAGCCGACCUGAGAGGGUGAUCGGCCACACUGGGACUGAGACGCGGCCCAGACUCCUACGGGAGGCAGCAGUAGGGAAUCUUCCGCAAUGGACGAAAGUCUGACGGAGCAACGCCGCGUGAGUGAUGAAGGCUUUCGGGUCGUAAAACUCUGUUGUUAGGGAAGAACAAGUGCUAGUUGAAUAAGCUGGCACCUUGACGGUGCCUAACCAGAAAGCCACGGCUAACUACGUGCCAGCAGCCGCAGUAA
This 515-nucleotide ribosomal RNA is filed under the name uncultured bacterium. RNAcentral describes it as "partial 16S ribosomal RNA". It matches the Rfam family "Bacterial small subunit ribosomal RNA", at positions 28 to 523 of the family's 1533-position model. The record is from RNAcentral.